AUGAUCCAGAAAGAGGCUGCUUUAUCAGCCUAGAUUCUGAAAAAAAGAGAACAAGAGCGGGAUAUAGUUAACCCAGAAUGGACAUGCAGCUUGAGCAUGAAUAAGCUUCUGUGGUUGUGCCUUCUGUUUUCAUCUCUGCUCUGCCUUAAGACAGGAAACAGCCUCUCUUCCCCAGGCUCCAAUGAGAGAACUUACAGCAGAAAUGUUCCCUACAGAAGGAAGAUGCCCAAGAGAGAAGACCUGAAACGGGGCCAAGACAAGAACACUCACCUCCCCUGGGAUCCAAAAUGGGUGUGACUGAAGGAGGAUGAGUAUUGUGGAGGAAGAAUGCACGAGACAGAAAAUCCAUAAACCCAACCACAGGAUUUUGUGAACUAUCCAUGAGUCCAUGAUGUUAUCACUCAUGGAACUCAAGAGCCCACGCCAAGAUCCUGUGUGGCCACGCCCUGCUAUCACCAGCUGCUAGAGGGUCACCCCUCCCCCAGGCUCUUUUCCUCACUGGACACUCCUCACGAUUCCGGAGAACAACCCCUGUACCAGAGCACACACUUAGUUGCCAUUAUCCCAAACGACGUAAGCAAAGGUCAAC
RNAcentral lists this long non-coding RNA (589 nucleotides) under Mustela putorius furo (domestic ferret). Its description in RNAcentral is "lncRNA (ENSMPUG00000024327.1)". Lineage: Eukaryota; Metazoa; Chordata; Mammalia; Carnivora; Mustelidae. The record is from RNAcentral.